Non-coding RNA from Schizosaccharomyces pombe (fission yeast), 497 nucleotides. The record is from the annotation of a GenBank genome assembly. Lineage: Eukaryota; Fungi; Ascomycota; Schizosaccharomycetes; Schizosaccharomycetales; Schizosaccharomycetaceae.
AGCUCGUGGGAGUUUAAUAUCCUGACACCAAGUAUGAAACAAGUAAUGGCAGAGACAGCCUCGAUUAGAUGAUAUCGUAUUUUGAGAAGAUGCGACCUAUGGUGACAGGAUUUUAUUAAGGAAAUAUGAUCGAAUCACAAAUGUUUUCUUCUUUUCUUCUGCAAAUAUAGAUUCAGAUAUACUCUUUCAACCAAGAAACUAAAACUCGCCUACCUUUCAACAAAUCAUAAGUUGUUUGAAUACAUAUGUACAAAAAUAUAAGAAAUUAACAUUGUACGUUGAACAAUCUUCGAACUAUGCGCUUAGCUUGUUGGAAAGUGUUUUUACAUUUAAAGCUUAACCUAGUAACUCACGAAGAUUUCACAAUACGAGGAAAUGCUAUUAUUACCUAUAAAACAAGACGAAUAAUGCAGUAUGCUUAGUUAGCUUAAAUCGCUAGCAACAACUUUGUUGUGGACCAUGAAUAAAAAUAACUCAAUUUAAUAGAUAAGAAAGUU